Cyprinus carpio carpio is the source of this 492-nucleotide long non-coding RNA. Lineage: Eukaryota; Metazoa; Chordata; Actinopteri; Cypriniformes; Cyprinidae. The record is from Ensembl.
ACAACAUAUAGCUGUCAUCUGUCAUUUCAUGUUAAAAUUAAUCAAAGUGGUUUUGAUAACUCCUUUUUUGUCAGAAGUAUACCUGUAGAUAAUUUUUUUUUAAUUCCACAAUUUGUUGAAAUCAUUUCUGAUUUCAUUUUCUCACCCACUGAGAGAAUUGGGUUUGUCUAUUCUACUAUCCUUCUCCUUCACCUUCAGGAAGAGCAGGAAUCUUUACAUACAGAGAAAACAGAAGAUUGGAUUUUUCAGCAUUCAGUUUUUUUCUUCUUCACACAGUCAAUGACAAGAAAUGUGAGGAAACAAACAGAGAAAGAGAGCGAUAUGGAGAUCAGUGAAGAAGAAUCCCGUUCCUCUAGCCCAGAGGUGAACCAGUCUAAUGCGCUGCUAAAACAGGAGAGCAUUGAUAAAAGACCAAAUUUUUCUCAUGAUUCAGGUGGUCCAGAACAGUGUCGGCCUGAUAUAUCUGAAGAGGUCCGUGAUAAGGUAAUGGGA